UAGAGGAAGUAAAAGUCGUAACAAGGUUUCCGUAGGUGAACCUGCGGAAGGAUCAUUAUUGAAUAAACUUGGUAGAGGUUGUCGCUGGCUCUUAGGAGUAUGUGCACACUUCUCCAUCUUUACUUCUCCACCUGUGCACCUUUUGUAGUCUUUUUUAAUUAGAAGCAACUGAAUGCUCGAGGCAACUCGGAUAGAGGAUCUGCUGUGCGAAAGCCGGCUUUCCUUGUAAAUUGUCUUCCUUAUCUUAAAAGGUCUACGUUUUUAUAUACCCCAAAUGUAUGUCUAAGAAUGUAAUCAAUGGGCUUUAUUGCCUAUAAAACAAAUACAACUUUCAGCAACGGAUCUCUUGGCUCUCGCAUCGAUGAAGAACGCAGCGAAAUGCGAUAAGUAAUGUGAAUUGCAGAAUUCAGUGAAUCAUCGAAUCUUUGAACGCACCUUGCGCUCCUUGGUAUUCCGAGGAGCAUGCUUGUUUGAGUGUCAUUAAAUUCUCAACCCUUUCAAAGUUUUUAUUGACUUUGAAGUUGGGCUUGGAUUUGGGGGUUGCGGGCUUUUCCAAAGUCGGCUYUCCUUAAAAGUAUUAGCGGAACCUUUUGUGAGCCGUCUACUAGUGUGAUAAUUAUCUACGCUGUUGAUGUUGCUUACAUUAAUGAGGUUCAGCUUCUAAUAGUCCAUUUACUUGGACAAUAUCUUUAUUGAUGACCAUUUGACCUCAAAUCAAGUAGGACUACCCGCUGAACUUAAGCAUAUCA
Molecule: ribosomal RNA, 749 nt
Filed under: Cystoderma arcticum
Lineage: Eukaryota; Fungi; Basidiomycota; Agaricomycetes; Agaricales; Squamanitaceae
Description: eukaryotic LSU rRNA
Rfam family: 5.8S ribosomal RNA (bases 327-480)
Source: RNAcentral